UUUUUAUGAGAGUUUGAUCCUGGCUCAGGACGAACGCUGGCGGCGUGCCUAAUACAUGCAAGUCGAACGCUUCUUUUUCCACCGGAGCUUGCUCCACCGGAAAAAGAGGAGUG
This 113-nucleotide ribosomal RNA is filed under the name Enterococcus faecium. RNAcentral's name for it is "partial 16S ribosomal RNA". It matches the Rfam family "Bacterial small subunit ribosomal RNA", at positions 1 to 100 of the family's 1533-position model. The record is from RNAcentral. Lineage: Bacteria; Bacillati; Bacillota; Bacilli; Lactobacillales; Enterococcaceae. RNAcentral also lists the same sequence under 1 other name.